This 254-nucleotide ribosomal RNA is filed under the name uncultured bacterium. RNAcentral describes it as "partial 16S ribosomal RNA". It matches the Rfam family "Bacterial small subunit ribosomal RNA", at positions 524 to 776 of the family's 1533-position model. The record is from RNAcentral.
UACAGGGGGGGCAAGCGUUGUUCGGAAUUACUGGGCGUAAAGCGUGCGCAGGCGGUCUGUUAAGACCGAUGUGAAAUCCCCGGGCUUAACCUGGGAACUGCAUUGGUGACUGGCAGGCUUUGAGUGUGGCAGAGGGAGGUAGAAUUCCACGUGUAGCAGUGAAAUGCGUAGAGAUGUGGAGGAAUACCGAUGGCGAAGGCAGCCUCCUGGGCCAACACUGACGCUCAUGCACGAAAGCGUGGGGAGCAAACAGG